GAUGAAGAACGCAGCGAAAUGCGAUAAGUAAUGUGAAUUGCAGAAUUCAGUGAAUCAUCGAAUCUUUGAACGCACAUUGCGCCCGUCAGUAUUCUGGCGGGCAUGCCUGUUCGAGCGUCAUUACGCCCCUCAAGUCCCCUGCGGACUUGGUGUUGGGGAUCGGCGAGGCUGGUUUUCCAGCACAGCCGUCCCUUAAAUUAAUUGGCGGUCUCGCCGUGGCCCUCCUCUGCGCAGUAGUAAAACACUCGCAACAGGAGCCCGGCGCGGUCCACUGCCGUAAAACCCCCCAACUUUUUAUAGUUGACCUCGAAUCAGGUAGGACUACCCGCUGAACUUAAGCAUAUCAAUAAGCGGAGGA
RNAcentral lists this unclassified non-coding RNA (358 nucleotides) under soil metagenome. RNAcentral describes it as "partial contains 5.8S ribosomal RNA, internal transcribed spacer 2, and large subunit ribosomal RNA". The stretch from base 1 to 120 matches the Rfam family "5.8S ribosomal RNA", at positions 35 to 154 of the family's 154-position model. The record is from RNAcentral.